CUCGUGUUGCAUCCAUUUUUUUGGCAAAAUUUGUAUCCUACUUCUUUUAAUAUAUCGACGGUAAAGCCAAUAAAUUCAAAAUGACUUUUACGCAUUGUAAACGAUGUUUUUUUUACAUGAAUGAUAAAAAAAAAAAUUAAAGAGGAUCGUCGGCCAAAUACGAUUUGAUAAUAAAAAUAAAGAAAAUAUUUAAAAAUUACGAUUAUCAACCACGACCUUAUGGGCUUUGCACCGUUGCACUUGACAUGUCACUACGCCUUGGUCUGGAAGGCGGCAUCCGUAAAAAUACAUAAAAUCAAAAGAGGAAUCGCGUAAAACGGAUAAAUGAGCGUAAAGUUAUGUCGUUUUAAGGAUUCACACUUUCGCACCUAGAGCGGAAGGAGGAAGGGUAAUAAGAAAAUUUAGAGUGCAAGGAAUGUCGGAUGCGAUCAUACCAGCACUAACGCACCGGAUCCCAUCAGAACUCCGAAGUCAAGCGUGCUUGGGCUAGAGUAGUACUAGGAUGGGUGACCCCUUUGGAAGUCCUCGUGUUGCAUCCCUUUUUUGGCAAAAUUUGUAUCCUACUUCUUUUAAUAUAUCGACGGUAAAGCCAAUAAAUUCAAAAAUGACUUUUACACAUCGUAAACGAUAUUUUGUUUACAUGAAUGAUAAAAAAAAAUUAAAGAGGAUCGCCAGCCAAAUACGAUUUGAUAAUAAAAAUAAAGAAAAUAUUUAAAAAUUACGAUUAUCAACCACGACCUUACGGGCUUAGCACCGUUGCACUUGACAUGUCACUACGCCUUGGCCUCGAAGGCGGCAUCCGUAAAACGUCGAGUUGCGAUGUCGUCGUUCCAUGCGGCCCAGUUUAAUAGGCAUGGCGGCCCUCUAAUUGCGAUAUUAUCGCCGAGCGCGGCUUGUUGUUAUUGGUCAACGCCUUUGCCCGGGAAAAAUACAUAAAAUCAAAAGAGGAAUCGCGUAAAAUGGAUAAAUGAGUGUAAUGUUAUGCCGUUUUAAGGCUUUACACUUUUGAUCUGGAGCGGAAGGAGGAAAGGUAAUAGGAAAAUUUAGAGUGCAAGGAAUGUCGGAUGCGAUCAUACAGGCACUAACGUACCGGAUCCCAUCAGAACUCUUAAGUUAAGCGUGUUUGGGCGAGAGUAGUACUAGCAUAGGUAAUCCCUUGGGAAGUCCUCGUGUUGCAUCUUUUAUUUUUGGCAAAAUUUGUAUCCUACUUCUUUUAAUAUAUCGACGGUAGAGCCAAUAAAUUCACGAAUGACUUUUACGGAUUGUAAACAAUAUUUCUUCACUUGAAUAAUAAAAAAAAAUUAAAGAGGACAAUUAUGGAAAAGAUCAAAAAGGCCAAAUACGAUUUGAUAAUAAAAAUAAAGAAAAUAUUUAAAAAAUUACAUUAUCAACCACGACCUUACGGGCUUAGCACCGUUGCACUUGACAUGUCACUACGCCUUGGUCUCGAAGGCGGCAUCCGUAAAA
RNAcentral lists this long non-coding RNA (1467 nucleotides) under Nicotiana tabacum (common tobacco). Lineage: Eukaryota; Viridiplantae; Streptophyta; Magnoliopsida; Solanales; Solanaceae. The record is from RNAcentral.